Molecule: non-coding RNA, 142 nt
Filed under: bovine gut metagenome
Source: RNAcentral
CCGCAGCAAUGCGGCGAAGAGGGAAACCGGUUCAAGUCCGGUGCGGUCCCGCCACUGUAAGCGAAGAGCGACGGCAAAAGCCAUUGGGAAACCGAGAAGGCGCCGAAGCGACGAUGCGCAAGCCAGGAGACCUGCAUAGAAA